AUUCCUUGUAAUCACACGAGCACGCCAUUGUAACCAGAAAUUAUUGAAAUGAAAAGUGUUAUACAUUUUUGAACUGUCUUUCUGGCAUUGUCGUUCUACUGGUAAUACAUCCGCUGGUUAGCGGAAUUCCAGCUCCUUGGAAUUUCUCGACCAUCUAGGGCCUCCAACUGGUAGGAGCCAGGUCGGUUUACCCAGCGAACCCUAUACGGGCCUUCCCAAUUUGG
This 224-nucleotide long non-coding RNA is filed under the name Phoenix dactylifera (date palm). Its description in RNAcentral is "long non-coding RNA (PDAC_LNC014847)". Lineage: Eukaryota; Viridiplantae; Streptophyta; Magnoliopsida; Arecales; Arecaceae. The record is from RNAcentral.